This 164-nucleotide ribosomal RNA is filed under the name Bouteloua diversispicula. Its description in RNAcentral is "5.8S ribosomal RNA". It matches the Rfam family "5.8S ribosomal RNA". From Rfam's summary of the family: 5.8S ribosomal RNA (5.8S rRNA) is a component of the large subunit of the eukaryotic ribosome. It is transcribed by RNA polymerase I as part of the 45S precursor that also contains 18S and 28S rRNA. Lineage: Eukaryota; Viridiplantae; Streptophyta; Magnoliopsida; Poales; Poaceae. The record is from RNAcentral.
CUCAUGACUCUCGGCAACGGAUAUCUUGGCUCUCGCAUCGAUGAAGAACGUAGCAAAAUGCGAUACCUGGUGUGAAUUGCAGAAUCCCGUGAACCAUCGAGUUUUUGAACGCAAGUUGCGCCCGAGGCCUUCUGGUCGAGGGCACGUCUGCCUGGGCGUCACGC